RNAcentral lists this ribosomal RNA (376 nucleotides) under uncultured organism. Its description in RNAcentral is "partial 16S ribosomal RNA". It matches the Rfam family "Bacterial small subunit ribosomal RNA", at positions 527 to 896 of the family's 1533-position model. The record is from RNAcentral.
GUAGGUGGCAAGCGUUGUCCGGAAUUAUUGGGCGUAAAGCGCGCGCAGGCGGUCCUUUAAGUCUGAUGUGAAAGCCCACGGCUCAACCGUGGAGGGUCAUUGGAAACUGGGGGACUUGAGUACAGAAGAGGAAAGCGGAAUUCCAAGUGUAGCGGUGAAAUGCGUAGAGAUUUGGAGGAACACCAGUGGCGAAGGCGGCUUUCUGGUCUGUAACUGACGCUGAGGCGCAAAAGCGUGGGGAGCAAACAGGAUUAGAUACCCUGGUAGUCCACGCCGUAAACGAUGAGUGCUAAGUGUUAGGGGGUUUCCCGCCCCCCUUAGUGCUGCAGCUAACGCAUUAAGCACUCCGCCUGGGGGAGUACGGCCCGCAAGGCUG